Molecule: ribosomal RNA, 253 nt
Filed under: uncultured bacterium
Lineage: Bacteria
Description: partial 16S ribosomal RNA
Rfam family: Bacterial small subunit ribosomal RNA
Source: RNAcentral
UACGGAGGAGGCAAGCGUCAUCCGGAAUUAUUGGGCGUAAAGCGUCCGUAGGUGGUUGUACAAGUCUUUUGUCAAAGCGCGAGGCUUAACUUCGUAAGGGCAGGAGAAACUGUAGAGCUAGAGUGCGGUAGGGGUAGAGGGAAUUCCCAGUGUAGCGGUGAAAUGCGUAGAUAUUGGGAAGAACACCGGUGGCGAAAGCGCUCUACUGGGCCUGCACUGACACUGAGGGACGAAAGCUAGGGGAGCGAAAGGG